GACGAACCGUGCGAACGUUAUUCGGAAUCAUUGGGCUUAAAGCGCGUGUAGGCGGAUUCGUGCGUCUGUCGUUGAAAUCCCCCGGCUCAACCGGGGAAGUGGCGCGGAUACGACGAGUCUGGAGGGGCAUAGGGGGACCUGGAACUUCCGGUGGAGCGGUGAAAUGCGUUGAGAUCAGAAAGAACACCAACGGCGAAAGCACUCUGCUGGGCCGACACUGACACUGAGAGACGAAAGCUAGGGGAGCGAAUGGG
This 254-nucleotide ribosomal RNA is filed under the name uncultured bacterium. RNAcentral's name for it is "partial 16S ribosomal RNA". It matches the Rfam family "Bacterial small subunit ribosomal RNA", at positions 524 to 776 of the family's 1533-position model. The record is from RNAcentral.